GACGAACGCUGGCGGCGUGGAUUAGGCAUGCAAGUCGGACGGUAGGGCUUUAUCGUAAGAUAGAGUUUGAGAGUGGCGAACGGGUGAGUAACACGUAGGAAUCUACCCUUAAGACGGGGACAACCCAGGGAAACUUGGGCUAAUACCGGAUGAGAGUGCGAGAGAUUGCAUUUAAAAGGAUGGCGAAAGUUGUCGCUUAGGGAUGAGCCUGCGGUCUAUUAGGUAGUUGGUGGGAUAAAAGCUUACCAAGCCGACGAUCUGUAGCUGGUCUGAGAGGACGACCAGCCACACUGGGACUGAGACACGGCCCAGACUCCUACGGGAGGCAGCAGUGGGGAAUUUUGGACAAUGGGCGAAAGCCUGAUCCAGCCAUGCCGCGUGCAGGAUGAAGGCCUUCGGGUUGUAAACUGCUUUUGUACGGAACGAAAAGGUCUUUUACUAAUAAAGAAGGCUCAUGACGGUACCGUAAGAAUAAGCACCGGCUAACUACGUGCCAGCAGCCGCGGUAAAAGUGUGUGUACG
RNAcentral lists this ribosomal RNA (522 nucleotides) under uncultured bacterium. RNAcentral describes it as "bacterial SSU rRNA". It matches the Rfam family "Bacterial small subunit ribosomal RNA", at positions 28 to 536 of the family's 1533-position model. The record is from RNAcentral.